Molecule: unclassified non-coding RNA, 360 nt
Filed under: Hevea brasiliensis (rubber tree)
Lineage: Eukaryota; Viridiplantae; Streptophyta; Magnoliopsida; Malpighiales; Euphorbiaceae
Source: RNAcentral
UAGCACUCCAGCAAACACAUCCUGUAAUAUACAAGGAGUCCGAAACUUUACUAGUAAGUAAUCUUUAGUAUUAUAAACUCAUGGCAUUUAUUGAUACAACUAAAACAAAGAUUGCCGAGAAAGGUACUAUUUAACGCAAGUUAAAAUACAAGUUAUUAAAGCAUUUAGUCAUGUAGAUGGUCAUAAGUUGAGAAGUCAUUGUACAACAAUGUUAUCAAGGCGAAAGAUAACAUUAAGACGACAGGAUACCUUAUAGCCUUAGGCAAGAGGUGAGAAGAGAAAUGAGGGCUUUUUUAAAGUGAGACGCCAUAACCUAAAUUGCUAUAUACACACGCGCACACACACACUCUUUUAACAUAA